Molecule: ribosomal RNA, 253 nt
Filed under: uncultured bacterium
Lineage: Bacteria
Description: partial 16S ribosomal RNA
Rfam family: Bacterial small subunit ribosomal RNA
Source: RNAcentral
UACGUAGGGGGCAAGCGUUGUUCGGAAUUACUGGGCGUAAAGGGCGCGUAGGCGGCAUGUCAAGUCGGGAGUGAAAGCCCGGGGCUCAACCCCGGAACGGCUUUCGAAACUGCCAAGCUAGAGUACGGAAGGGGCAACUGGAAUUCCCAGUGUAGCGGUGAAAUGCGUAGAUAUUGGGAAGAACACCGGAGGCGAAGGCGGGUUGCUGGGCCGAUACUGACGCUGAGGCGCGAAAGCCAGGGGAGCAAACGGG